RNAcentral lists this ribosomal RNA (1468 nucleotides) under Limosilactobacillus fermentum. RNAcentral's name for it is "bacterial SSU rRNA". It matches the Rfam family "Bacterial small subunit ribosomal RNA". Lineage: Bacteria; Bacillati; Bacillota; Bacilli; Lactobacillales; Lactobacillaceae. The record is from RNAcentral.
AAGGGGGGUGCCUAUACAUGCAAGUCGAACGCGUUGGCCCAAUUGAUUGACGGUGCUUGCACCUGAUUGAUUUUGGUCGCCAACGAGUGGCGGACGGGUGAGUAACACGUAGGUAACCUGCCCAGAAGCGGGGGACAACAUUUGGAAACAGAUGCUAAUACCGCAUAACAGCGUUGUUCGCAUGAACAACGCUUAAAAGAUGGCUUCUCGCUAUCACUUCUGGAUGGACCUGCGGUGCAUUAGCUUGUUGGUGGGGUAACGGCCUACCAAGGCGAUGAUGCAUAGCCGAGUUGAGAGACUGAUCGGCCACAAUGGGACUGAGACACGGCCCAUACUCCUACGGGAGGCAGCAGUAGGGAAUCUUCCACAAUGGGCGCAAGCCUGAUGGAGCAACACCGCGUGAGUGAAGAAGGGUUUCGGCUCGUAAAGCUCUGUUGUUAAAGAAGAACACGUAUGAGAGUAACUGUUCAUACGUUGACGGUAUUUAACCAGAAAGUCACGGCUAACUACGUGCCAGCAGCCGCGGUAAUACGUAGGUGGCAAGCGUUAUCCGGAUUUAUUGGGCGUAAAGAGAGUGCAGGCGGUUUUCUAAGUCUGAUGUGAAAGCCUUCGGCUUAACCGGAGAAGUGCAUCGGAAACUGGAUAACUUGAGUGCAGAAGAGGGUAGUGGAACUCCAUGUGUAGCGGUGGAAUGCGUAGAUAUAUGGAAGAACACCAGUGGCGAAGGCGGCUACCUGGUCUGCAACUGACGCUGAGACUCGAAAGCAUGGGUAGCGAACAGGAUUAGAUACCCUGGUAGUCCAUGCCGUAAACGAUGAGUGCUAGGUGUUGGAGGGUUUCCGCCCUUCAGUGCCGGAGCUAACGCAUUAAGCACUCCGCCUGGGGAGUACGACCGCAAGGUUGAAACUCAAAGGAAUUGACGGGGGCCCGCACAAGCGGUGGAGCAUGUGGUUUAAUUCGAAGCUACGCGAAGAACCUUACCAGGUCUUGACAUCUUGCGCCAACCCUAGAGAUAGGGCGUUUCCUUCGGGAACGCAAUGACAGUGGUGGUGCAUGGUCGUCGUCAGCUCGUGUCGUGAGAUGUUGGGUUAAGUCCCGCAACGAGCGCAACCCUUGUUACUAGUUGCCAGCAUUAAGUUGGGCACUCUAGUGAGACUGCCGGUGACAAACCGGAGGAAGGUGGGGACGACGUCAGAUCAUCAUGCCCCUUAUGACCUGGGCUACACACGUGCUACAAUGGACGGUACAACGAGUCGCGAACUCGCGAGGGCAAGCAAAUCUCUUAAAACCGUUCUCAGUUCGGACUGCAGGCUGCAACUCGCCUGCACGAAGUCGGAAUCGCUAGUAAUCGCGGAUCAGCAUGCCGCGGUGAAUACGUUCCCGGGCCUUGUACACACCGCCCGUCACACCAUGAGAGUUUGUAACACCCAAAGUCGGUGGGGUAACCUUUUAGGAGCCAGCCCGCGCC